GCAACGCAACGGUCAUACGCCGACGCCGGUCUCCAUCGACAAUUACUCCCGCAGGGUGUAGACCCUUGUACACCCCGAAAAGCUACUGGUCGUCGAGAAGUCCGAGCCGAGCGUGAUCCAUGCUACCCCAACAACAACUCCUCCAACACCGCCAAGACCAACGAGGCACGAUGGCGAGGGCGAGCGUGGACAUCGCAAAGGCUAUGCUACACGUGGCGCGUGUACCGACGAGGACACGGGCUCUGCCGCCGCCCACACACACACAUCACCAUCAUCAUGCAUGGAGAACACGAAGCGAAGACGACGAAGACGACCACACAGCUCAAUCGGAGGUAUCUCGCGGAGCAACCCGCGGGAGUAAUUAACCGGGAGUCUUCCGAGGCCCCGGGAACCAGGAGAUCACACAAUCGCCACAGCCAGCUUGGCCGUGCUAGUAGGCCACGGAGCGCACCUUUUUUUU
RNAcentral lists this ribosomal RNA (460 nucleotides) under Triticum aestivum (bread wheat). Its description in RNAcentral is "partial small subunit ribosomal RNA". The record is from RNAcentral. Lineage: Eukaryota; Viridiplantae; Streptophyta; Magnoliopsida; Poales; Poaceae.